UGAGGAAGUAAAAGUCGUAACAAGGUCUCCGUUGGUGAACCAGCGGAGGGAUCAUUACCGAGUUCUAUAACUUUGUAAAACCCUAUGUGAAAUGUAUUCAUGUAUGCCUCGGCAGGAGCUGCUACGCUUUCUCGAGGGGGAGGGCUGCUACCCUGUAGCAACCCCCCUUUCCCGGGACGUGGCGCGGCCCUGUAAUUGGACCCGUUCCUGCCAGCAGGCUUCUAAAAUUCUAUUUACCACUAUAUAUUCAGAUUUUAUUAUGUAUAAUAAGUUAAAACUUUCAACAACGGAUCUCUUGGUUCUGGCAUCGAUGAAGAACGCAGCGAAAUGCGAUAAGUAAUGUGAAUUGCAGAAUUCAGUGAAUCAUCGAAUCUUUGAACGCACAUUGCGCCCAUUAGUAUUCUAGUGGGCAUGCCUAUUCGAGCGUCAUUUCAACCCUUAAGCCUCAGUUAGCUUAGCGUUGGGAGACUGAGCCCCCCCAGGGGCCCAGCUCCUCAAAGUCAGCGGCGGAAUUAGGGCGUAUCCUAAGCGUAGUAGUCUAUAUCUCGCUUCUGCGGUACCCCUGAUCUCUAGCCGUUAAACCCCCCUAUAAUCUAGUGGUUGACCUCGGAUUAGGUAGGAAUACCCGCUGAACUUAAGCAUA
RNAcentral lists this ribosomal RNA (643 nucleotides) under Xylariaceae sp. D11a4. Its description in RNAcentral is "eukaryotic LSU rRNA". The stretch from base 276 to 429 matches the Rfam family "5.8S ribosomal RNA". The record is from RNAcentral. Lineage: Eukaryota; Fungi; Ascomycota; Sordariomycetes; Xylariales; Xylariaceae.